AUCAACAUUAGAGGAAUCCAUCAACCAAUCAAUGAGAGCUCAAACCUCUUUCAUUCACAGCUUCUCCCUCUCUUUGGGUUCCACCCUCCCAUCCAUCGGCAAAAUGUACAUUGCACUGUGGUAUUUUUAUACAUCCUAAUUUAAACCAAAACAUGAAAAAGGUUUACAUAAUAAAAAAUGAUAAUUAACAUUUGCUAAGAUUCCGCCAUGCACUGGGAAUUCUGAAUCCCUUAUUAGCUUCACCGUCUCUGUAAUAGACCAGUGACGGGGUUGUUAUUGGUCCCAUUUCAUCAAUGAGGAAGCCAAGUCUUAAAGAGGCAGGGCUGAUCCCCCAGCCAGCUGUCUCCAUGAGAACGGAAGCCGGUGCUCAUCCAUCCUGGUAGUACAUGCUUUAUAGGAAGGAAGCAAAUGCCCACGGACACACAGGUAAACGGUUCAAAGGAUCAGGGUCUCUGGUUUCCCUGGUUACCCACUCCUCCAUCCACUGCCCAUUAGGUUGCUGGGGAAUUUCAGGCAUGCGCAGGUGGCCCCUGUGGCCGGCACUGGGACCUUCAUCAGGAAUGUGUUUGACAUCCUUUUUCCUUCUGUUGUCUUAAGAACAAGUAGAACGGGACUAGAAAGCUGUGACUCCAUCUCAUCCCCACAGGGCUGAAAGCAGUGUUGACAGAAAACAAGGGCUGAGAUGUGACGUCACAAGAGAGGCGGGCAGCCUAUGUGUUCCUGGGCUGUUGGGGUGAUUGAAACCUGAAAUCUCUAGAAGCUUCUCUCCUAGAGAUCAGCAAGCUUCUUUUUUGGCUCAGACCACCUCACCCUUCCUGAUGCUCACAGCUUGAGAUUUACCUCAGAGUCGGAACUUAGGUACCUCUUUCUACUUAGGUUCCCUUAGAAAGGGAAUAAAACGUCUGUAUGUGCUAUUCCCCUGUGGCAGAGUGGCAGACACUAAGAAGAUGCAAUAGUACAUGGAGGAGGGCUCCUGCAAUGACAUGGGAGACAGAGACAGAAGAGUCACCUAGAAGCUUGCAGGUCAGCCGGCAUGGAAGAUAAGACAGAGGAGCAGGCAAGAGAGGUCCUCAAAGCAAGGUAGAAGGCGAAGAUGGACUCCUAGAAGCUGUCCUCUGAUGUAUGUGUGUCUUCUGGACAUGGGUACCUGUACUCACCCCCCUUCUGAGAGGCGGGGGAGAGACAAAGAGAGAGAGAGAGAGAAAGAGAGAGAGAGAGAGAGAGAGAGACAGAGACAGAGACAGAGACAGAGACAGACAGACAGACAGACAGACAGAGAGAGAGACAGAGAGACAGAGACAGAGAGAGACAGAUUUGUUUAUAAAUUUUAAAUUUUGUGCAGGCACAAACUUAAAAUUUUAAGCUUUCAAUUCAACACUCAUUACAGUUCUUCUGUAACACCUUUGCAGUACAGUUUUUUAUCUAAAGAUCCCUCAUACUUGGUUCUGAUCAACAGCUACAUUGGCAUCACUGAUUCGAACCUACGGAGAAAGAAUCCCCAGUGGAAGAUUGAUGUUGAAUCUAAGUGAUGUCACGUUGUUUUAAAGUGUCAUUGAAAUCACCUUGAACUUAACUCCUUCCCUCCACUCUCUUACCACCGCCCCAUUACCCACACACUGUAACUCUGUUCCUUUCCCAGAAACAGUUUGGCAGUGAUCACAAGACGUUUUGCCCUCAGUAAAGCUCGAGUCACGAAGGACCGCGGGAUCAAAUGAUGUCAUAGGUCUUGCCUCACUCACAGGCAUCUGCUUCUUGGGAGGAGGCACCAACUGAAGGUCAGAGGGGUACAAAACAGCCACACCAAAGUGGUCUGGUUGAGGUCACCAGUCAACACCAGCUCCUCCCUUGCUCAUUGCCAGCUGAUCAUGAUGGGGGUGCUGUGUGCCUUGACAACGUGAAGGCCAAACGUGUGAUGGCCUCUCACUCCUUCCUGGGAUGCUGAAGGUGGCUGGACCACUCUCCAUUUGAUGGCCACUUAUACCAUGGGGAACGGGAACUAAGGCAGUUUUACUGAUCAACGAACGGAACUGGGGCUGGAGAGAUGGCUCAGUGGUUAGGAGCACUUGCUGCUCUUGCAGAGGUCCUGAGUUACCUUCUCAGCACUCAUGUGGUAUUCAAGGCAUCCAGUACCCUCCUCCGCCCUUUGUGGAAACGCAGCUUCACACAAGUCACACACACAUAGUUAAGAAUAAAAUAAAGCUUAAAGCAAGUAAGCACGCAAACACACAAGCCCAGUACUGACCCACUGCUUGAAGAUAAACAGGGGGAUGCUAGAAAGAAAAGUGCCCAUCUAUUGCAUGUGUAUGCAUGGCUGUUCCUCCCCCAUUUACUGCUGCUUAAAGAGCAUUCCAAUUUCUCUUUCCUCUGGCUAAGGAGUGAGUAUCUCUAAGGUGUAUAUACCUCUGUUUUUUUAUACCCUGUAUAGUAGUUUUAGGUUGACAGAAAAUCUGGGCAGAAGCAACUGAGUUCUCAUAGAACUUCUGCACACCCUCCUACACACCCAGCCUCUUCAAGAACUUGUAUUUGCAAUGAGAACCUGCCUGGAUAUAGAAUAGCCACCGAAACUCUAUAGCUCAAAUCACUCAAGGCAUUGUCCAUCUGAGGAUUUAUCGCUGGUUUUAUUUUAUUCAUAUGCAUAGGUGGUGAUUUGAAAGAGAAAUGGCCCCUGUAGCCUCAGGUUUUUGAACACUUGGUUCCCAUUUGGUGGCACUGUUCAGGAGGUCACGUUUCAGCCUCAGGCUCCUGCUCCUUUGACUGCCCAUUGCUGCCCGGUCUCCUAGCCAUGAUGGAGUCCUAUUCAUCUGGAACCAUGAGCUAAAAUAAACUCUUCCCAACUCUUUUGGUCCUGGUUUUAGCACAGCAACAGAACUGUAACAAAUGUGUCAUUAUUUGUAUCUUUCAUGAGUGUGUGUACAGGUGGAGGACAGAAAAGGGUAUUGAACUGCCCCGAGUUGGAACUACAGGUGAUUGCGAUCCACCCAGUGUGGGUUCUGAAAACAGAACUUAGAGCCUCUGUCAUCCCUAUGUCAACUAGGUGUGGUCCAUCUACCAAACACCUUUAAAUAAUAAUACUGUUUGCAUCUGGCUUCUGUCAUCAGGACAGCUGGCCUCACGGUAUGUGGACAGAUACUCUUUUCAUUCUACCCAUCCUAACAAGUUCAGAAGAACCAUACUCACGGAUACAAAGUAAUCUGUCCAAGCUUUGGACACUAGAAGGAUGCAGCCGAAGGUCCCUGAUGCUCAAUGUGUCACUGUGUCUUAUCUUUAUUGCCUCCCCUAAAACCAAACUGUGACUCACUUGCUUGUUAAAUAUUUAACAAAACAUGAAUUCAUGCUCACACAGCACAGGCCAGGGCUGACAGAGGCCCUCUUUCGGAUCUUACAACUGGCUGGUACUUGAGAGACUGUCCACAUGCUAUUGACCUUGAUGGUGUAGCUUGUACCAACAUGUCCUACUGCAAGCAAACCUCUGCCAGGUGGAGAACUGCUCCAUAUCUGAGGAAGAAGACCUGAACACUGGAUCACCACAUACUUCAUUGUCAUUUAGUGGUAAACAUGGUACUUCUGGGCUUCCCCAGCUCCUGUUGGGAAUUCUAAGGGCACUGGAGGUCCAGGCCGAGAUUUGUUUGUAAUAUGCAGAUGUGAUGAGGCCUCUCCUGGACAGAGGCUUUACUCUGGGAGCUGUGGCUGUCUGUGGGUGAACUAUGAAGAAAGCUAAUACAAUUUCUGUCUGAAAUGCAA
Non-coding RNA from Rattus norvegicus (Norway rat), 3741 nucleotides. NCBI's taxonomy places the organism in Eukaryota, Metazoa, Chordata, Mammalia, Rodentia, Muridae. The record is from RefSeq and is a predicted model, not a curated record.